AUCUCCCUACGCUCAAGGUUUUGGGACCCAAUGUUGCCACGGGAAGAAACAGACAAACUGAGACAUACAAUCCAUGAAUGAGUGGCUCACAAGCCAGAAAAAAACGAAAAGAUACCAAGAGGAGAGACCCUUAUUCUGCAUCAUUCUUGUGUAACAGAUUGCAACAGAACUCGACGGCCAGACCGUUGCCAUGUCGACCUCAUCGCUACGGCGACAAGUAAAGAACAUCGUCCACAACUAUUCAGAGGCUGAAAUCAAGGUUAGAGAGGCGACAUCCAAUGACCCAUGGGGCCCCAGCAGCUCUCUGAUGUCAGAGAUUGCUGAUCUGACCUACAAUGUUGUGGCCUUCUCGGAAAUCAUGAGCAUGGUGUGGAAGCGCCUCAAUGACCACGGCAAGAACUGGAGACACGUGU
Plectropomus leopardus (leopard coralgrouper) is the source of this 413-nucleotide non-coding RNA. NCBI's taxonomy places the organism in Eukaryota, Metazoa, Chordata, Actinopteri, Perciformes, Serranidae. The record is from RefSeq and is a predicted model, not a curated record.